UACGUAGGCAGCGAGCGUUGUUCGGAGUUACUGGGCGUAAAGGGUGUGUAGGCGGUUGUUUAAGUUUGGGGUGAAAUCUCCCGGCUCAACCGGGAGGGUGCGCCGAAUACUGAAUGACUUGGAGUGCGGGAGAGGAAAGUGGAAUUCCUGGUGUAGCGGUGAAAUGCGUAGAUAUCAGGAGGAACACCGGUGGUGUAGACGGCUUUCUGGACCGUAACUGACGCUGAGACACGAAAGCGUGGGUAGCAAACAGG
Molecule: ribosomal RNA, 254 nt
Filed under: uncultured bacterium
Lineage: Bacteria
Description: partial 16S ribosomal RNA
Rfam family: Bacterial small subunit ribosomal RNA
Source: RNAcentral